UAUUUUAUUUAUACAAUUAAAUAAUUCCAUAUAUUAUUUAAAAUUUUGUGGUUUAUAUUAUGUAUUUUGAUAACACUUUUAUGUUUUUUAGACGUAGUUAAUAUACCAAAAUAAAAAAUAACCACCCCGUAAUAACAAAAUCUUGUUACAUUUUUGACAUUGAUUAAGUAUAAUUUAUUGUUUACCUAGAUUAUAGGAAGCAUUUUUUAAAUAAAUAAACAUAAUUUGUUAUACUUUAUUUUAGGAAAAUGCAUUAAUUAAACUAUAAAAGACAAGAAUACUAAAAGGUAGUUAAAUUUAUUACUUCAGUGGCAUUCAAAUGUAAAUAACUUUGAAAACUAAGGGGCAAUUUAUAUUGGUACUUAUCUUUUAAUAAUAGAGAUACAAUUUGUCUUAAUGGACACGUGUCACUACGAUAUGAAAGGACUUAUCUACGUGAAUUCUAGGAGAGAGCAAACUGUACUUUAUAUAUAUAGAUAGAUAGAUAGAUGUGCGCUAAGGAUAAAAUUUUAGUCGACAGUUUUUAGCUAAAAAAAAGUAGGUCCUCAUUAUUUUGGAACUAAAAUGAAGUUACUCAAUAUGUAUUCAGCGUACAAAAGUAGUUACUGUUAUCUAUACUAUACUAAAAGGGUUAUAUGAGGAGUAGAGAGUGUGUCCACAUCAGAUUAAAAAAUCGGCCAAUUGGAGAAGAGCUUUUCGCCACGUCAGACACGCAAUGUCCAAAAGCGAGUGUCGGCCCUUUUUCUUUUCGUAUGGGUUUUAUGAAAAUGUGAAAAUUAUCACUCUGGCCCAUCCCAGCCCAGGUAGAGAACAUAGGGAUAAACUUUUAUCGUUUCACGCUUGAGUUUCUCCUCCAACUUUUCCACUUCAUCUUUUCCGAUGUAUAGAUUUGUUUGCUUUGCCAAACUUUAUCAACCAUUCUUCAAUGUUCUAUCCACUUUCCCUUGAUCCUUCUCCUAUAUAAAUCUCUAUGUACAAACCUAAAUCCACCCAAAAUCAAAACCUACUCUAAAGAAGUUACAUCCAUCGACACUUUAGUCUAAACCUAUCUGCACGAUCUCUACUUCUACUCCGCGACCGUCAAAUAAAAAAUGCAAUUCCUCCGGUAAAAGCUCAGUCACGGUCGAAGUUCCUUCACCGCUGAAUCAUCAUCAUCUAGGUUCUUACCUUGUGACGUCUCUCACCUUUGUCGAUCCAUCGAGAAUCUCCUGUAAAAAAACUCAGUUCCCGUUGAUGGAGAGAUUGUGAAGAAGGUUGGUCAAUCUGUUUCCUGUAGGUAAAAGAUUUAUGUGUUGUGCUAGAACUGUUUCAGAUUUCAAGUGAUUGGUCUUCUGAAGAACUAUGCUUUUGUGUGCGAGGUAUAUAAUUCACUUACAAACUUUAUCUUACAUGGAUAAGAUUCCAGAUUUGGUGUUUGGGUUUAUAUGUGACAUUUGAACUUAUGUGUGAUUUUUAAGCACAACGAGUGUUUGGGAAUAAAUGGACUGAGAUACAAAGGUGGAUUCAGCAGGUAGAAUACCGGCUCUAAUGGUGCUUCAAGUCAUGAUUGUAGGAUCAAUCAUUAAUGUUUUAUACUUCUCUAUGUUUGUAGAAAGGAUAAGGCUGUGAACAGGUUUACGAGACUUCGUGUGAAGAGAGCCAACCAUGAAACUAUGGCUAGCGAGAACAACUCAAACAAGAAAAUAAUGUUCUUCUUACAAUAUGAAACUUCUAUUGCCAAUAGAACAAGGAUCUAUCUCCAUGUAAGGUCUGAUUCUUUUCCUUUUCUAUGCUCCAAAGUUGUGAUCAAGCAUUUCUCUGACUUGAAAUCUGUGUUUAGUUCUUCUCUUCCAAGAUAUAUGCCUUAGAUUACACGUUAUGUCUCCACAGUGAGUUAUUUAUGAGCAUCACAAGGUGGAAACUUUCCUCACUCCCUCAUGAGUGACUGGAGGACAAUCUAAAACUAUUAGCCUGGACAAGCAAAAGUUAACAAUCCUCUUUGACAACCCCAACAUCUGAAAAUGGAAGGAAAAAGCCUUUUGCUGGAUCCUUUUCAUGCAGAAGGAAUCGUCCGUCAGAAAAUGUAAGAGCUCUAUAUUAAUUGGCUUCCUUAUCUGCUUAAUUUUAGUUUGGACAGUGGUGUUGAUGAGUGAGUCUCUCUGUCUGAAUAUGUAGAGGAAUUGUGCUCAAGAAAGGAAGCAUCACUAUUUAACAUUAUUCUAAUCCAAGUUAAAGCUAAAAGUAACUUCUAAUGCUAAUAAAUAUAUAUUACAUAUUUGAGCUAGGGGUUGAAACGGUGGCUAUUGAUGCAGCCAAAGACAUGGUACUGUCAAAGGAACAAUGGAUGUUAAAGAGCUUGUGCUUUUACUGGCCAAAAACUUAAUGAACCAUCAAUCUCUUCUUCUGGUCAAAGACUGUGCCACCCCUCCCGCCUUAAAGAAAGAAGUCUCGGCUGCAGGAGAAAGAGACAAAGAAGGAAGGGAAGUUGGAGAGAAGAAAACAGAGGGUGGCUAGAAGAAGAAAGAAGUUGUUGACGGCAGAGAAGAGAGAAAACGAAAGAUGUUGGAGCUGGCAGGAAGAAGAAGAAAGAAGCCAGGCGCAGUGAGAAGAAGUGAUUCCCUGGUCAAAUCAUUGUCACAUGAAAGAUUAUAAGUUCAUACAAGUAUAUGCAGUCUUAAAAUUUUCUGACGGACAUCUCUAUAACUAUAAUUUUCAACUACUACCAAAAUAAAACUUGAAAGGAACGAGAAAGAUUGUAUACACUCUAAUCUAAUAAAGUUUUAACUAUUAUUCUUAAUC
Long non-coding RNA from Brassica napus (rape), 2778 nucleotides. RefSeq lists it as uncharacterized. NCBI's taxonomy places the organism in Eukaryota, Viridiplantae, Streptophyta, Magnoliopsida, Brassicales, Brassicaceae. The record is from RefSeq and is a predicted model, not a curated record. The transcript has 2 exons.